CGACCGGCGCACGGGUGAGUAACGCGUAUCCAACCUGCCCACCACUUGGGGAUAACCUUGCGAAAGUAAAGACUAAUACCCAAUGAUAUCUCUAGAAGACAUCUGAAAGAGAUUAAAGAUUUAUCGGUGAUGGAUGGGGAUGCGUCUGAUUAGCUUGUUGGCGGGGUAACGGCCCACCAAGGCAACGAUCAGUAGGGGUUCUGAGAGGAAGGUCCCCCACAUUGGAACUGAGACACGGUCCAA
Molecule: ribosomal RNA, 243 nt
Filed under: uncultured bacterium
Lineage: Bacteria
Description: partial 16S ribosomal RNA
Rfam family: Bacterial small subunit ribosomal RNA
Source: RNAcentral